Molecule: ribosomal RNA, 497 nt
Filed under: uncultured bacterium
Lineage: Bacteria
Description: partial 16S ribosomal RNA
Rfam family: Bacterial small subunit ribosomal RNA
Source: RNAcentral
GAUGAACGCUGGCGGCGUGCCUAAUACAUGCAAGUCGAGCGAACGGACGAGAAGCUUGCUUCUCUGAUGUUAGCGGCGGACGGGUGAGUAACACGUGGAUAACCUACCUAUAAGACUGGGAUAACUUCGGGAAACCGUAGCUAAUACCGGAUAAUAUUUUGAACCGCAUGGUUCAAAAGUGAAAGACGGUCUUGCUGUCACUUAUAGAUGGAUCCGCGCUGCAUUAGCUAGUUGGUAAGGUAACGGCUUACCAAGGCAACGAUGCAUAGCCGACCUGAGAGGGUGAUCGGCCACACUGGAACUGAGACACGGUCCAGACACCUACGGGAGGCAGCAGUAGGGAAUCUUCCGCAAUGGGCGAAAGCCUGACGGAGCAACGCCGCGUGAGUGAUGAAGGUCUUCGGAUCGUAAAACUCUGUUAUUAGGGAAGAACAUAUGUGUAAGUAACUGUGCACAUCUUGACGGUACCUAAUCAGAAAGCCACGGCUAACUACGUG